GAGGGUCCCCCCCCGGGCACCCCUCCCCUCCCUAGCCCCCCGGCUUGGGUGUCUCCGGGGCUGCCGGUGGGGCCGGACGAGGAGGCCCUGAGCCCCCGGGGGGGGUCCCCUCCUCCUGGGUUGGCACCCGCCCCGGUGCCCCCGCGUGGCCCCAGCCCCCCCAGCCUGCCGCAGGAUCCGGCCCUCCCCAGCCUGGCAGCCCGGGAGCCACAGCAAGGGACCAACGGGGAGCCCGAGCAGGAGCCGGCCCGCGGGGACUCAGGGCACAACGGCAUCGGGGGCCUCGGGCACGGGGGGUGGCCAGCCCCCUGGGAGCAGGACCCCCCGGUGCAGGGGGAUGAGCCCAGCGACACCAUCCUGCCGGAGCCGCCACACAAAGCCAAGCCAGGCUUCGCCUUGCUGCUGGCCCGCGAUGCCCCCCACCAGCAGCUGCCCGCCGGCAGCAGCCCCCCAGCCGAGGACGAGGACCUCUCCCCCCAUGCUGUGUAGGGGGGGUGACAGCAGCACGCCCCCCCCCCCAAGCACCACCUACUGUGCCCCCCAGCACCCCCCCAGCUGGGGCUGCCCCCAGCCCCCCAUGCAUUGGCUGCCCCGCACCUCGCCCCACUGCCCCACGCUCGGUGUGGUGUUUGCAGCCCCCCCCCGCCCCUCCCAGCACAGCCUCUUGCACUGGGGCCGCUGGCCCCCUACCCCCCCCCCCCCUAUACAGCAGCUUUGGGAAGCAGCCACGCACCCCACAGCCCCGACCCACCUGUGCAGCACCGUGCUGGGGGGGACAGGGGUCCCCAGACUGGGGGGCACAGGGCCGGCAGCAGGACCCUGCCCCCCCGCGACCCCCCGCCCCCCCAGGGAGACGCAGUGGCUGUUAAAUAAAUUUUAAUGCACA
Long non-coding RNA from Oxyura jamaicensis (ruddy duck), 886 nucleotides. RefSeq lists it as uncharacterized. The record is from RefSeq and is a predicted model, not a curated record. NCBI's taxonomy places the organism in Eukaryota, Metazoa, Chordata, Aves, Anseriformes, Anatidae. The transcript is spliced from 4 exons.